AGUUUUGUAGGCAUUUAACAUUUCUUUCUAUUCCUUUGUGCUCUUUUUAGAAGAUAUUAUCUUUGAAACUUUACUUAAACACUCAAAUUACUGGAAGCGGCUUAAUGAAACUUAUAUGAAUGCUAAAGUUUGGGCAAGGUGCUCGGAUGAAUCAUUAUGCAUUAAUGGAUUGAAUCCUACUUGUGUUGUUGUGAUUGUAUGGUUAAUUCUUGUUUUUGUUUAUCUUUAAUUGAUUAUAGAGAAAUAAUAUUAUUUGUGCAGGUCUCACAAGGAGCGGAAGACACUUUUCUAUUUUAACAGAAUCUUUGACAGUAUUACUUUUCUUUGGCCUUGCUACAAUGGCUGGAUGGUAAAACUAGAAUAAUAUGGUCACCCCGUGAACUGGGGAUUGAAGCAGUUGAAUCUUUUGUUGUUGCAAAAUGCUUCAAUUGAGCAGAAACAAGUUUUGCUAAUGCUGGAAGAACUAAAAUAGAAGAUUUCGUGAAUGAAGAGAUGCCAAGUACAUCUAGACAUCACUUUUUAGAAGAAAACUUUUGCGAGUCAUUAAAUGCAAAACUUUCCAAGUGAAAGGAGCUACUUUUGUUGUGUAACUGCAAAUGCGUUUUGAAGUGUAAAGAUAAAUCAAGGAGAAGCUUCCGAAACUAGCACCACUUUGGAUCCAAAUUUUG
This is a long non-coding RNA of Olea europaea var. sylvestris, 668 nucleotides long. RefSeq lists it as uncharacterized. The record is from RefSeq and is a predicted model, not a curated record. The transcript is spliced from 4 exons. Lineage: Eukaryota; Viridiplantae; Streptophyta; Magnoliopsida; Lamiales; Oleaceae.